This 490-nucleotide ribosomal RNA is filed under the name uncultured bacterium. RNAcentral's name for it is "partial 16S ribosomal RNA". It matches the Rfam family "Bacterial small subunit ribosomal RNA", at positions 29 to 506 of the family's 1533-position model. The record is from RNAcentral.
AGUGAACGCUGGCGGUAGGCCUAACACAUGCAAGUCGAACGGCAGCACAGUAAGAGCUUGCUCUUACGGGUGGCGAGUGGCGGACGGGUGAGGAAUACAUCGGAAUUUACUUUUUCGUGGGGGAUAACGUAGGGAAACUUACGCUAAUACCGCAUACGACCUACGGGUGAAAGCAGGGGAUCUUCGGACCUUGCGCGAUUGAAUGAGCCGAUGUCGGAUUAGCUAGUUGGCGGGGUAAAGGCCCACCAAGGCGACGAUCCGUAGCUGGUCUGAGAGGAUGAUCAGCCACACUGGAACUGAGACACGGUCCAGACUCCUACGGGAGGCAGCAGUGGGGAAUAUUGGACAAUGGGCGCAAGCCUGAUCCAGCCAUACCGCGUGGGUGAAGAAGGCCUUCGGGUUGUAAAGCCCUUUGUUGGGAAAGAAAAGCAGCAGGUUAAUACCCCGCUGUUCUGACGGUACCCAAAGAAUAAGCACCGGCUAACUUCGU